This 2124-nucleotide long non-coding RNA is filed under the name Olea europaea subsp. europaea. Lineage: Eukaryota; Viridiplantae; Streptophyta; Magnoliopsida; Lamiales; Oleaceae. The record is from RNAcentral.
UGGAGCAACACAAUUCAGGAACUCAUUCCAUUUAAUGAAAUAUGAAAACUAAAAAUAAAAAUAAAAUAAAAUGGAGCAUUGUGAUGACUUUGUUGACUUAAUAAAAGUAAGUUUACUUUUAUAUUCAUAUAAGGUGCUAUACAAUCUUGGAGUUAUUGCACAACUCUCUUUGGCCAUCUUCAUCUUGGUGAUUGCUUUCCUUUUCAUUUGGAUAACUUGAUUUUUCAUUCUCAUAGUAAUGAAAACAUAUUAAUUUUUUAAGUUCAUUUGUAACUAUUUUAAGGUUAAUAAAUCAUUCACGAUUAUAUACAUAUCCUCAUUCUAUUUAUCCACUAGAAGAUAAUAAUUCUUUUCAUUAUACUAAACGUUCAUUCGAAAUAUAAUUAUGAUUAUCCCAAGAAUAUGCUUCACUCAUGAUGCACACACGCUUCAAAAAUGUGAAAUUUUUUCAUUCUAAGAUUUUGCCUCCAAAUUUUAUUUAUUUAUUUAUUUUUUGCAGGAAAAAUUUUACUAUGGGUCCCCAACAUUUGGAAUUUGUAACAAUUCCGGCUCUAUUCAAUUUUUAUCCCAUUCCGUCCCCAACCUUUCAUUAAGGGAAAUGUCACUUUCUAUCACCAACAUUUGCGUUAUGUUACUAGUAGAUCCUCAACUUUUUCGGCACCAGAUCUAGCCUUUUUUUAUUUUUACUUUUGCUAAAAGUUCACCUUUAUUCAGCGCUUGUUUGUGCGCCUUUAAUUUCAAAAAGUGUAUUAUGGAAUAGUGAUUGAUGUUGAAAUGUGUGGUCAAAAAAGAAGGAAAAGUUUUUAAUUUAUCUAUAAUAUUAUUUUAAUGAAGAAUGUGUAGUUGAAAAUGAGUAUUGUAGAAAAAAAUAAUGUAGUAGAAUGAUUGACAAACGAAUGCUUAAUUGUGGUUAAUUAUUAUCUCUAUGCUCAUUUAUCUGCACUGUGUUUUGAUGCCUUUUUUAUCCAAUAAAUACAUGCUCGGAUAAAGAUCAAUUGUAUUAUUUUUGCCCUUUUCUUGAAAAGUAAUCUUUAAUCUCUUCUCCAUAUAAUCAAGAAUUCUUCUGUGUGCAAGAUUUCGAUUGCAAACUCGUGAAUCUAUUACAAGAAUUGGAAGGUAGAUAGAAAAGUGAAGGAAGAUCCAAGGAACAUUAUAGCAUACAAAGACAUUUGGUGGAUUGUAUGACCAUGAAAGUGAUAUCAUGAGAAUCUUCAACUUAGCAAGGUAGUUUCAAGGCCGGUCCUGUGAUUGUCGCGGCUAGAGGUGAAGUCCAUAAAUUAGGCCUUCGAUGAAAUCAACGUAAAUACAAAAUUCUAUGGCAUAUUAUGCAACCUAUUGCUAACGUAAAAUAUACGGCCACAUGUUAACCAAUGUCCAAUAACCAAUUAAACAUGUAUUGCACAAGCUGAUAAGCCAAACUUAUGGUGGAAAUAAGUAAGUAACAAUCAGUAGCAGUUUGCAUGAGACCAACUUGGUAAAAUGACCCUAAAAUUUUCAACGUAAGUGCAUCUCGACUGCAUGAAUAAGUUAAACUGUUAAGCUUAGAUUAUUUGUUUCUAAAUAAAUAUUAUAAGGCUAGUGAAUAGAAGGCAGAAACUUCAAUGGAUUUUUCUAAUUUUAAUGUUUAAGAUAGAUGUUUAUCAAUACUACAAACUGUUGCGAGUUCAUAAUUUCUGUUUUUAUUUUUUGCCCAUUUGAGAAUCUCUAUUUCAUCUAAUUCCCCAAGCAACCACAUUUCCAGAAAACUGCUUUCCACAACAUAUUAGAAUUGCAAACUUCUCUCUGUUCACUAAUAUUUUAAUCUUUUCGUUCUUAGCAACGCUUUCAUAGAAAAUAAACUGGAAUGAGGAAUCUAAAAUUUAAAACUAACACUGAUUUUGAUUCUCCUUUACUCCAUUCAAUUUUUCUUUCAGGAACCAGAAAAAUAACUACAUCUUCGCAAAGUAAGAGGGCAAACUCAACUGCUCACCUUCUUCUCAAGGAACCAUCGCCUGUGCCUGUGAUUGAAGAGUCACGAGAAGUCGAGCAGGCCCUAGGAAAAAUGGGAUUCUGGAUUUGGAAUUUCAGAUUUGGGAAAUUUUAUUUUGGGUAAAUGGAUAUUAUGGAUUGUGGGAUAUAUAAGUU